AGGACGAACGCUGGCGGCGUGCCUAACACAUGCAAGUCGAACGGGGGUAGCAAUACCCCAGUGGCGAACGGGUGCGUAACACGUGAAGAACUUGUCCAUCGGCGGGGGAUAGCCGGCCCAACGGCCGGGUAAUACCGCGUACGUCGUCUGGAGCGCAUGCUCUGGCCGGGAAAGCAGCAAUGCACCGAUGGAGAGCUUCGCGGCCUAUCAGCUUGUUGGCGGGGUAACGGCCCACCAAGGCAACGACGGGUAGCUGGUCUGAGAGGAUGAUCAGCCACACUGGGAUUGAGAACGGCCCAGACUCCUACGGGGGCAGCAGUGAGGAAUUUUCCGCAAUGGACGCAAGUCUGACGGAGCAACGCCGCGUGCAGGGCGAAGGUUUUCGGAUCGUAAACUGCUUUUCUCGGGGACGAGCAAGGACGGUACCCGAGGAACGAAGCCCCGGCUAACUACGCGCCAGCAGCCGC
RNAcentral lists this ribosomal RNA (467 nucleotides) under uncultured bacterium. Its description in RNAcentral is "SSU rRNA". It matches the Rfam family "Bacterial small subunit ribosomal RNA", at positions 26 to 518 of the family's 1533-position model. The record is from RNAcentral.